GACCAGACUCCUACGGAGGCAGCAGUGGGGAAUAUUGCACAAUGGGGGGAACCCUGAUGCAGCGACGCCGCGUGGGUGAAGGAGCACCUCGGUGCGUAAAGCCCUAUCGGCAGGGAAGAAACAGACGGUACCUGACUAAGAAGCCCCGGCUAACUACGUGCCAGCAGCCGCGGGAAUACGUAGGGGGCAAGCGUUAUCCGGAUUCACUGGGUGUAAAGGGAGCGUAGACGGCGACGCAAGUCUGGAGUGAAAGCCCGGGGCCCAACCCCGGGACUGCUCUGGAAACUGCGUCGCUGGAGUACGGGAGGGGCAGGCGGAAUUCCUGGUGUAGCGGUGAAAUGCGUAGAUAUCAGGAGGAACACCGGUGGCGAAGGCGGCCUGCUGGACGGUAACUGACGCUGAGGCUCGAAAGCGUGGGGAGCGAACAGGAUUAGAUACCCUAGUAGUA
RNAcentral lists this ribosomal RNA (448 nucleotides) under uncultured bacterium. Its description in RNAcentral is "bacterial SSU rRNA". It matches the Rfam family "Bacterial small subunit ribosomal RNA", at positions 329 to 795 of the family's 1533-position model. The record is from RNAcentral.